This 694-nucleotide long non-coding RNA is filed under the name Marmota monax (woodchuck). Lineage: Eukaryota; Metazoa; Chordata; Mammalia; Rodentia; Sciuridae. The record is from RNAcentral.
UCUAGAAAUGCUUUUGUGCUACAAUGGCAGAAUUGAGUAAUUGUGACAGAGACAGUAUGGUCUGCAAAAGCUAAAAUAUUUACCGUCUGGCCAUUUGUAGAAGUCUACUGACUCUUGCUUUAAAAAGACUACUUAAUAUUUUAUGUAUAAACAUGUCAUAACUUAAUAAUUCCUUAUUAAAGGAUAUAAAGGCUACUUCUAACCAAGUCAUUACAAAUAUCACUGUAUUUAAUACAUCAGUGUCUGUGUUAUAUUCUCACACAUGGGGCUAUUAUCCAUGUAAGUAUCCAUCUAGGAAUGGGACUGUUGAGAAAAAAUAUCAUGUGCUUUUCAUGGACAUAUUUGUUAAUUUGGUAUCAACAGCAGCCAUGAUGUUAAGGAAACCAGAAGACAGACCAACUGAAAGAAUCAAUUGGGGAAGAAAAAAAGAGAAAUGACCAAUUGAAGGCUGUAUUCCUGGGAAAUGAAAUGAACAAUAUGAUUUCCAAGGGGAAUAAAUUGGUGGUUGCUUUCAGCCAUACCUACAAAAUGGGAGGCUGAAAGUUGGAAAAACCCAGACCUCUAUUUAAUGUAUCAGGGUUGAGGAAACCAAUGCAAGUGUGUUCUUCUGUUAAGGUCACUCUUUGUCGUAAUCGCAAACUUCUCCUCACCUCUCUCUCUGAAUUCAUUUCCUAUGCCAGAACCUUGGAGGCAC